CGGAGCUAAUCCCUUAAAGACCAUUCUCAGUUCGGAUUGUAGGCUGAAACUCGCCUACAUGAAGCUGGAGUUACUAGUAAUCGCAGAUCAGAAUGCUGCGGUGAAUGCGUUCCCGGGUCUUGUACACACCGCCCGUCACACCACGGGAGUCGGUAACACCCGAAGUCGGUAGCCUAACCGUAAGGAGGGCGCCGCCGAAGGUGGGAUUGAUGACUGGGGUGAAGUCGUAACAAGGUACC
RNAcentral lists this ribosomal RNA (239 nucleotides) under uncultured bacterium. RNAcentral's name for it is "partial 16S ribosomal RNA". It matches the Rfam family "Bacterial small subunit ribosomal RNA", at positions 1263 to 1500 of the family's 1533-position model. The record is from RNAcentral.